This 253-nucleotide ribosomal RNA is filed under the name uncultured bacterium. Its description in RNAcentral is "partial 16S ribosomal RNA". It matches the Rfam family "Bacterial small subunit ribosomal RNA", at positions 524 to 776 of the family's 1533-position model. The record is from RNAcentral.
AACGUAGGAGGCGAGCGUUAUCCGGAUUUACUGGGUGUAAAGCGCGUGCAGGCGGUUUGUUAAGUUGGGUGUAAAAGCUCCUGGCUCAACUGGGAGAGGUCGCUCAAGACUGGCAGACUGGAGCAUGGUAGAGGAAGGUGGAAUUCCGGGAGUAGUGGUGAAAUGCGUAGAUAUCCGGAGGAACACCAGUGGCGAAAGCGGCCUUCUGGACCAUGACUGACGCUCAGACGCGAAAGCCAGGGGAGCAAACGGG